RNAcentral lists this ribosomal RNA (254 nucleotides) under uncultured bacterium. Its description in RNAcentral is "partial 16S ribosomal RNA". It matches the Rfam family "Bacterial small subunit ribosomal RNA", at positions 524 to 776 of the family's 1533-position model. The record is from RNAcentral.
UACGUAGGGUGCGAGCGUUUGUCCGGAAUUAUUGGGCGUAAAGGGCUCGUAGGCGGUUUGUCGCGUCGGGAGUGAAAACCUACAGCUUAACUGUGGGCUUGCUUUCGAUACGGGCAGACUAGAGGUAUGCAGGGGAGAACGGAAUUCCUGGUGUAGCGGUGAAAUGCGCAGAUAUCAGGAGGAACACCGGUGGCGAAGGCGGUUCUCUGGGCAUGAUCUGACGCUGAGGAGCGAAAGUGUGGGGAGCGAACAGG